Molecule: long non-coding RNA, 144 nt
Organism: Chelonia mydas (Green sea turtle)
Lineage: Eukaryota; Metazoa; Chordata; Testudines; Cheloniidae
Exons: 2
Source: RefSeq, a predicted model, not a curated record
CCACAGUAUGCAUCCGAUGAAGUGAGCUGUAGCUCACGAAAGCUUAUGCUCAAAUAAAUUGGUUAGUCUCUAAGGUGCCACAAGUACUCCUUUUCUUUUUGCGAAUACAGACUAACAUGGCUGCUAAUCUGAAACCUCUCUUAU